GUUUCCCCUCGGGAAUUAUUUUUAUGGGUUUCGAUAAAAGAGUGAGAUAAAUAUUUGGUUUAUAAAAUUCAUUUGAGUUUUGGUCACUAAAGAGUGAAGUUAUUUAAUAAAAACAAUAAAGGGUGUUGCGACGUGAAAUAAGCUGUGUUGGUUUGGUGUAGUGUUUUACUACAAGAAAGGGUCUACACGUCACCAUCUCUACUUUGGAGUCGCCCAAGCGCCCAGUUGUUUUACAAGGUGUUUAUUCUAUUUUUAUGAUUUAUUUUAAUUAUUUUGGACUAUUUUGAAUUUAUUUAACGUAUUAAAAAUUAUAAAAUUAUUUAAAUGA
RNAcentral lists this long non-coding RNA (328 nucleotides) under Anthonomus grandis grandis. RNAcentral describes it as "uncharacterized LOC126746892". Lineage: Eukaryota; Metazoa; Arthropoda; Insecta; Coleoptera; Curculionidae. The record is from RNAcentral.